AGAGUUUGAUCAUGGCUCAGGACGAACGCUGGCGGCGUGCCUAAUACAUGCAAGUAGAACGCUGAAGAAGGGAGCUUGCUUCUUUUGGAUGAGUUGCGAACGGGUGAGUAACGCGUAGGUAACCUGCCUUGUAGCGGGGGAUAACUAUUGGAAACGAUAGCUAAUACCGCAUAACAGCUUUUGACACAUGUUAGAAGCUUGAAAGAUGCAAUUGCAUCACUACGAGAUGGACCUGCGUUGUAUUAGCUAGUAGGUAGGGUAACGGCCUACCUAGGCGACGAUACAUAGCCGACCUGAGAGGGUGAUCGGCCACACUGGGACUGAGACACGGCCCAGACUCCUACGGGAGGCAGCAGUAGGGAAUCUUCGGCAAUGGGGGCAACCCUGACCGAGCAACGCCGCGUGAGUGAAGAAGGUUUUCGGAUCGUAAAGCUCUGUUGUAAGAGAAGAACGUGUGUGAGAGUGGAAAGUUCACACAGUGACGGUAACUUACCAGAAAGGGACGGCUAACUACGUGCCAGCAGCCGCGGUAAUACGUAGGUCCCGAGCGUUGUCCGGAUUUAUUGGGCGUAAAGCGAGCGCAGGCGGUUUAAUAAGUCUGAAGUUAAAGGCAGUGGCUUAACCAUUGUUCGCUUUGGAAACUGUUAAACUUGAGUGCAGAAGGGGAGAGUGGAAUUCCAUGUGUAGCGGUGAAAUGCGUAGAUAUAUGGAGGAACACCGGUGGCGAAAGCGGCUCUCUGGUCUGUAACUGACGCUGAGGCUCGAAAGCGUGGGGAGCAAACAGGAUUAGAUACCCUGGUAGUCCACGCCGUAAACGAUGAGUGCUAGGUGUUAGGCCCUUUCCGGGGCUUAGUGCCGCAGCUAACGCAUUAAGCACUCCGCCUGGGGAGUACGACCGCAAGGUUGAAACUCAAAGGAAUUGACGG
RNAcentral lists this ribosomal RNA (926 nucleotides) under uncultured bacterium. Its description in RNAcentral is "bacterial SSU rRNA". It matches the Rfam family "Bacterial small subunit ribosomal RNA", at positions 8 to 916 of the family's 1533-position model. The record is from RNAcentral.